Molecule: long non-coding RNA, 644 nt
Filed under: Vitis vinifera (wine grape)
Lineage: Eukaryota; Viridiplantae; Streptophyta; Magnoliopsida; Vitales; Vitaceae
Description: long non-coding RNA (VVIN_LNC001607)
Source: RNAcentral
GAAUUUGUGCAUACUCUGAUGCAGAAGCGAGAAUCUCAAGAAGACCCUUCAUCUUUGUUUUGGAAGUCAAAGAAGAACUAAAACGCUCUAUGGUAGUGUAGCUGAUAUAAUAAUAUGAUGCUAUCAUGCCAAGGUUCAACGGUGAGAGGUCCAUGUCAUCCUCGAUUGCAACACAUUUACUUGCUUCCAAAUCACUCAAUGUGUUCUCUACACUUUCUGAAAGGUGAUCAGAAAGAUGCCUGUGACUAACUCCCUGAAGAUUGUAGUAGUUUGGAUUUUGAGUGAGCCUCCUAUACAUGAAUGUCCAAGUGAGAUAAUCCACAGCAUCUUGCUUGUUCUCAAUGACUCCAACAACUAUUUCAGCAUUCAAAUUAUCAUGCAGGUAGUGCUGCAAAUGACUUUCAACUGGGAAUGCUUCAUACAAGAACUUCUUGUAGUAUUCUUUACGAGGGGCAUGACAGAGGAUGACACAUUUCCCAGAAUUAUCUAAUAGAGGUCGACUGGCAUGGCCCAUCAUCUGUAACAGAUCAGUAACUGGGUAAUCAGUGUGAGCAUUUUCGCGCCCAUCAUAAUACUGGGUUCCCAUUACGACCACCAAAUGAGCUGACAAUGGCACUCCCCAGCAUAAUGAACUACUCAUAACA